This 80-nucleotide small RNA is filed under the name Allobosea lupini. RNAcentral's name for it is "Bosea lupini suhB". It matches the Rfam family "Makes More Granules Regulator RNA (mmgR)". Rfam says of the family: SuhB later renamed mmgR (makes more granules regulator) was a putative non-coding RNA found multiple times in the Agrobacterium tumefaciens genome and related alpha-proteobacteria. Other non-coding RNAs uncovered in the same analysis include: speF, ybhL, metA, and serC. Several studies inSinorhizobium meliloti showed that suhB element is indeed a non-coding RNA:firstly it was detected on Northern blot and called Sm8RNA, secondly in an RNAseq study referred to as SmelC689. The record is from RNAcentral. Lineage: Bacteria; Pseudomonadati; Pseudomonadota; Alphaproteobacteria; Hyphomicrobiales; Alloboseaceae.
ACCGGCUGCCCUCCUUGGGCGUUUCCUCCCUAGACUGGCCCGGUCUCGCUCGCGCGGGGCCGGGCCUUUUUUUUCCUGCU